GAUGAACGCUGGCGGCGUGCCUAAUACAUGCAAGUCGAGCGAACAGACGAGGAGCUUGCUCCUCUGACGUUAGCGGCGGACGGGUGAGUAACACGUGGAUAACCUACCUAUAAGACUGGGAUAACUUCGGGAAACCGGAGCUAAUACCGGAUAAUAUAUUGAACCGCAUGGUUCAAUAGUGAAGGACGGUUUUGCUGUCACUUAUAGAUGGAUCCGCGCCGCAUUAGCUAGUUGGUAAGGUAACGGCUUACCAAGGCAACGAUGCGUAGCCGACCUGAGAGGGUGAUCGGCCACAGUGGAACUGAGACACGGUCCAGAAUCCUACGGUAGGCAGCAGUAGGGAAUCUUCCGCAAUGGGCGAAAGCCUGACGGAGCAACGCCGCGUGAGUGAUGAAGGUCUGCGGAUCGUAAAACUCUGUUAUUAGUGAAGAACAAAUGUGUAAGUAACUAUGCACGUCUUGACGGUACCUAAUCAGAAAGCCACGGCUAACUACGU
Molecule: ribosomal RNA, 496 nt
Filed under: uncultured bacterium
Lineage: Bacteria
Description: partial 16S ribosomal RNA
Rfam family: Bacterial small subunit ribosomal RNA
Source: RNAcentral